UAAGGAUUAAUAAUGUUCAGAUUAAGCCUU
Molecule: non-coding RNA, 30 nt
Filed under: Mus musculus (house mouse)
Lineage: Eukaryota; Metazoa; Chordata; Mammalia; Rodentia; Muridae
Source: RNAcentral